CCUACCUCAAACUCGAAAACCUAAUUGUUACCGAGGAAGUGCAGCCCUUUCAUUUGAAUCCUGAGAAAGUGGCGCUCAAAGAACGAGGAGAACAAAGGGUGGGGACCCUUGGAAGAACUUGGUCCUUUUAAAUGCUAAAUAGUGGUCUGGGAAGUUUGAACUCAUUCUUCCAACUCCACACACCUUAGCUACUCCCCGUAACUGCUUCUGCUGCUAAAUUGACGCUGGAAUAUAGAAAUCUAAGAGAAAGAACUUUGAAAACUCCUGGAAGUUACAAAUACCUGUGUCCUGGUGUUCAGUAAGUCAUUUAUCAAGCUCCACCCCUAAGCCAGUCACUUCAAGGUGAGAAGUGGAGGCUGACAAUCUGAGAUGCUGCACUCUUAUUCUGUCAUUUAACAGUUCUUCCUACCUGCACAUUCUCCCUCUCCAUCCCCUC
This 436-nucleotide long non-coding RNA is filed under the name Ictidomys tridecemlineatus (thirteen-lined ground squirrel). RNAcentral describes it as "lncRNA (ENSSTOG00000033033.1)". Lineage: Eukaryota; Metazoa; Chordata; Mammalia; Rodentia; Sciuridae. The record is from RNAcentral.